ACGUACACUCCUACGGGAGGCAGCAGUAGGGAAUCUUCCACAAUGGGUGCAAACCUGAUGGAGCAAUGCCGCGUGAGUGAAGAAGGUCUUCGGAUCGUAAAGCUCUGUUGUUAGAGAAGAACACGUGCUAGGUAACUACUAGCGCCUUGACGGUAUCUAACCAGAAAGUCACGGCUAACUACGUGCCAGCAGCCGCGGUAAUACGUAGGUGACAAGCGUUGUCCGGAGUUAUUGGGCGUAAAGGGAGCGCAGGCGGUCUGUUUAGUCUAAUGUGAAAGCCCACGGCUUAACCGUGGAACGGCAUUGGAAACUGACAGACUUGAAUGUAGAAGAGGAAAAUGGAAUUCCAAGUGUAGCGGUGGAAUGCGUAGAUAUUUGGAGGAACACCAGUGGCGAAGGCGAUUUUCUGGUCUAACAUUGACGCUGAGGCUCGAAAGCGUGGGGAGCGAACAGGAUUAGAUACCCGGGUAGUCCCAUGA
Molecule: ribosomal RNA, 479 nt
Filed under: uncultured organism
Description: partial 16S ribosomal RNA
Rfam family: Bacterial small subunit ribosomal RNA
Source: RNAcentral